RNAcentral lists this ribosomal RNA (1293 nucleotides) under Triticum aestivum (bread wheat). Its description in RNAcentral is "partial small subunit ribosomal RNA". The record is from RNAcentral. Lineage: Eukaryota; Viridiplantae; Streptophyta; Magnoliopsida; Poales; Poaceae.
AUGAUGGGUAAUAAUAAUUUUGAGGGAGACAUCCCCGCCUCACUAAAAAAUGCCUCUGCCAUGAUGUAUAUCCAUCUAGGCAACAACUCUCUUACUGGGGUUGUUCCUUCUUUCAGCUCCAUGACAAAUUUGGAGUAUGUAAUGUUGUACUCAAAUCAUCUAGAGGCUGGAGACUGGACAUUCUUCUCAUCUUUGGCAAACUGUACACAACUCCGGAAACUUAACGUGGGUAGGAACAAUUUGUGUGGGGAUUUGCCAGCAAAUUCCCUAGAAAAUCUGCCCAAAAGCUUGACAGCUCUGACUCUUCGGUACAACAACAUCUUUGGCACAAUACCCUUGGAGAUUGGAAACAUGUCUAGCCUUUCCAUUCUCUAUCUUGAUACAAAUCUUUUCAUGGGACCUAUUCCUUCUACCCUUGGUCAGCUACACAAUCUGGUCGUGCUUAGCCUAUCAAAAAAUAAUUUUUCAGGAGAGAUACCUCCUUCCAUUGGCAACCUAAAUCAACUACAAGGGCUUUACCUGCAAGAAAAUUGGUUGGGUGGAAAAAUACCUGAAAGUCUAGGCAGCUGCAAUAACUUGUUGGCACUGAAUCUUUCAUAUAAUACCUUUGGUGGAAGCAUAAGCGGACACAUAUUUGCCAGAUUGCAUCAGUUGAGUUGGCUACUUGAUCUGUCACACAACGAACUUGCAAUGUCCAUACCACUAGAGAUGGGUAGCCUGAUAAACCUUGGUUCCUUGAGCCUAUCUCACAACAAUCUCACAGGCAGAAUCCCGUCCACGCUUGGCGAGUGUGUCCGGUUGGAAUUGCUUUAUGUAGAAGGAAACCUCCUACAAGGAAGCAUACCACAAUCACUAGCAAGUCUCAAGGGCAUCCAAGUGUUAGAUUUCUCCCAUAACAAUCCAUCUGGUACAAUCCCAGAGUUCCUGGAGACUUUCACCUCAUUACGGUAUCUAAAUAUGUCCUUCAACAACUUGGAAGGGCUGGUUCCCAUUGGUGAAGUGUUUGCUAAUAGGAGUGGUAUUUUUGUACAAGAAAAUCCACAUCUUUGCUCAAGUAUUGCAACAGAAGAGCUUCCUAGGUGUUUUGCUUCGGUAACCAUGAAUAAACACAAGUUCAUCAUUCCAUUGUUGAUAACUCUAUCGACUCUUGCCGCACUAGCUUCAAUCAUGGGGAUGUUAAUUUUUUGGUUAAAGAGGAGGUACAGAUCGAGUAAGAGCAUUGGUCGUUCCUACAUGGAGCUGAAAAGGAUAACAUAUUGUGAUGUAAGCAAAGCAACAAUAGAUUUUCUAUAG